AUUUAAAUAGUUUAAAUAAAAAUAUUGAUUUGUGGAAUCAAAGAUAUGAUCAUCAUUUUAGAUA
Molecule: transfer RNA, 64 nt
Filed under: Philonthus fimetarius
Lineage: Eukaryota; Metazoa; Arthropoda; Insecta; Coleoptera; Staphylinidae
Description: tRNA-His
Source: RNAcentral